GGAAGUAAAAGUCGUAACAAGGUUUCCGUAGGUGAACCUGCGGAAGGAUCAUUAAAGAGUAAGGGUGCUCAGCGCCCGACCUCCAACCCUUUGUUGUUAAAACUACCUUGUUGCUUUGGCGGGACCGCUCGGUCUCGAGCCGCUGGGGAUUCGUCCCAGGCGAGCGCCCGCCAGAGUUAAACCAAACUCUUGUUAUUAAACCGGUCGUCCGAGUUAAAAUUUUGAAUAAAUCAAAACUUUCAACAACGGAUCUCUUGGUUCUCGCAUCGAUGAAGAACGCAGCGAAAUGCGAUAAGUAAUGUGAAUUGCAGAAUUCAGUGAAUCAUCGAAUCUUUGAACGCACAUUGCGCCCCUUGGUAUUCCGAGGGGCAUGCCUGUUCGAGCGUCAUUACACCACUCAAGCUAUGCUUGGUAUUGGGUGCCGUCCUUAGUUGGGCGCGCCUUAAAGACCUCGGCGAGGCCUCACCGGCUUUAGGCGUAGUAGAAUUUAUUCGAACGUCUGUCAAAGGAGAGGACUUCUGCCGACUGAAACCUUUUAUUUUUCUAGGUUGACCUCGGAUCAGGUAGGGAUACCCGCUGAACUUAAGCAUAUCAAUAAGCGGAGGA
RNAcentral lists this ribosomal RNA (606 nucleotides) under Pteris vittata (Chinese brake). RNAcentral's name for it is "eukaryotic LSU rRNA". The stretch from base 235 to 388 matches the Rfam family "5.8S ribosomal RNA". Lineage: Eukaryota; Viridiplantae; Streptophyta; Polypodiopsida; Polypodiales; Pteridaceae. The record is from RNAcentral.